ACGUACACUCCUGCGGGAGGCAGCAGUGAGGAAUAUUGGACAAUGGGUGGAAGCCUGAUCCAGCCAUCCCGCGUGCAGGAAGACGGCCCUAUGGGUUGUAAACUGCUUUUAUCUGGGGAUAAACCUACUUACGUGUAAGUAGCUGAAGGUACCAGAAGAAUAAGCACCGGCUAACUCCGUGCCAGCAGCCGCGGUAAUACGGAGGGUGCAAGCGUUAUCCGGAUUUAUUGGGUUUAAAGGGUCCGUAGGCGGACUGAUAAGUCAGUGGUGAAAUCCGACAGCUUAACUGUCGAACUGCCAUUGAUACUGUUAGUCCUGAGUAAGGUUGAAGUGGCUGGAAUAAGUAGUGUAGCGGUGAAAUGCAUAGAUAUUACUUAGAACACCAAUUGCGAAGGCAGGUCACUAAGUCUUAACUGACGCUGAUGGACGAAAGCGUGGGGAGCGAACAGGAUUAGAAACCCUUGUAGUCCCAUGA
This 475-nucleotide ribosomal RNA is filed under the name uncultured organism. Its description in RNAcentral is "partial 16S ribosomal RNA". It matches the Rfam family "Bacterial small subunit ribosomal RNA", at positions 329 to 800 of the family's 1533-position model. The record is from RNAcentral.